Molecule: ribosomal RNA, 279 nt
Filed under: uncultured bacterium
Lineage: Bacteria
Description: partial 16S ribosomal RNA
Rfam family: Bacterial small subunit ribosomal RNA
Source: RNAcentral
UGCCAGCCGCCGCGGUAAUACGGAGGUUCCAAGCGUUGUUCGGAUUUACUGGGCGUAAAGGGAGCGCAGGCGGAAAGAUUAGUCUGAAGUGGAAUCCCGGGGCUCAACCUCGGAAGUGCUUUGGAUACUGUCUUUCUUGAGUCCGUGAGAGGAGAGUGGAAUUCAGGGUGUAGCGGUGAAGUGCUUAGAUAUCCUGAGGAACACCAAUGGCGAAAGCAACUCUCUGGCACGUGACUGACGCUGAGGCUCGAAAGCGUGGGUAGCGAACGGGAUUAGAUA